This 1476-nucleotide unclassified non-coding RNA is filed under the name Hevea brasiliensis (rubber tree). The record is from RNAcentral. Lineage: Eukaryota; Viridiplantae; Streptophyta; Magnoliopsida; Malpighiales; Euphorbiaceae.
GUACGACUUCAGUUCACUUUUUAAAAUAUCAAAAUAAGCUUAAUUAGGUACGGUUCUUAUUGGUUUAAAGAACCAUAGAGUUCUUCAGUUCGGUUCAACGUUUGGAGAACAGUGCACAGCCCUAUUUAGCAUGUUACCGUAAUAACCAGCUAAGAUGUGCCAUUGAAGUGUAAAGACCAUGAAGUUUGAAGGGCACUAAGUAACAUCUUUGAUCAAAAACUAUGAUACCAAGAAGACCAGACACCCUUUUAUCCUCAGAAGAAAAGAGAAACAAGGAAACAACGAAGGAUUUAACUAUCUGUGAUUUAACUCGAUAACAUCUGUGUGCAAAACAGUGAGGUUAACCACCUCCUGAAGCAGUUUUCUUUGGUCGUUGGUCGUUAGUUGUUACUGCCUUCGCUUCUUGGUGCUGCAAGAUGGGCAUAUGUACUGCUUGAUCAUUUCAGCCUUGGCUGGUGUUAUCUUCACACAUUUUCCAUGGUACCACCGCUCGCAUAUGUCACAACCAAUCCAAAAUUCAUCAGCACUGUAAGUCCCUCCACAGCUACCACAGAGGGUCUCACCAUGCUCAUCUUCAUCUUCUGCAUGGCUUUCAUCAAGUAACUUGGUAUCUCUUACUUGUCCCUCGUUUGAUCUCUGCAAUGAAAGAUAGGUCAUACAUCAAAAUUUAGUUACAUGCAAGUCCAUUGGAGAGAGAACUUUUCACCUUUGUGCCGUUCCUGGAUUUGCUUCCACUGUCCAUGCUGGGUUUGUCUUUUACUGGCUUCCUUUCAGUGACAACUUCAAAUAGGGUAGGCAGAUCAUUUAUCAGGCUAAACAGGCGCUUCCUUUCAUUGCGAUUAAGUCGAGCACCAAAGUAGAAUGCCACAGAAAGCAACCAACAGUCACUAUGCACUGCAACAAGUGAAAGCCAAUCUUUGCGGUGCAUCCCAUCUCUUGCAAAAUUGACACCCAAUGCUGGCUCUGGGAGCUCUGGUGGAACUUCCUCUGCUGGCAGAGUCACCUCCCACGACUCAUUUGGGUGUCCAUACAAACACAAAUUCUCCUUUUCUGGAUCGCAUUGAGAGUAGAAUUCAUCCACAUCGUAAGUAAGAGCACGAACGAGGCCGGUGCGGCGAGCGCUAUAGUCUUUGAAGAUCUCCUCUACAGUACGAGGACUAGAAGAGAUUGAAGCCAUUUACAUGCAUAAACUAGUGCAAAUGCAAUUACAGAAAAAAGUAGCAGAUCAGAUAAAUUACAGUUUGGGAUUUCAGAGGAUAAUAGGAGAAGAAGGAAGCUAUGCAGAUAUCGAUUAAUACAAGACUCAGCGAGAGAGAAGAGAGAAGAGAGAAGAGAGGGAGGAGAAGGGGUGCUCUGUCUCGACAGGAGGGAGAUUUGUUGGCCUAUGCUACUGUAGUCCGCACGUGGUUUACACUUUGCAGACCUGCCCACUUCCCAGUAAUGUCCACUGUCGGGUACGGAAUCGAUCCGUAACCU